This 429-nucleotide ribosomal RNA is filed under the name Pseudomonadota bacterium. RNAcentral describes it as "Proteobacteria bacterium partial 16S ribosomal RNA". It matches the Rfam family "Bacterial small subunit ribosomal RNA", at positions 355 to 776 of the family's 1533-position model. Lineage: Bacteria; Pseudomonadati; Pseudomonadota. The record is from RNAcentral.
UGGGGAAUAUUGGACAAUGGGCGAAAGCCUGAUCCAGCCAUGCCGCGUGUGUGAAGAAGGUCUUCGGAUUGUAAAGCACUUUAAGUUGGGAGGAAGGGCAGUAAGCGAAUACCUUGCUGUUUUGACGUUACCGACAGAAUAAGCACCGGCUAACUCUGUGCCAGCAGCCGCGGUAAUACAGAGGGUGCGAGCGUUAAUCGGAUUUACUGGGCGUAAAGCGUGCGUAGGCGGCUAAUUGAGUCGGAUGUGAAAUCCCCGAGCUUAACUUGGGAAUUGCAUUGGAUACUGGUUAGCUAGAGUGUGGGAGAGGAUGGUAGAAUUCCAGGUGUAGCGGUGAAAUGCGUAGAGAUCUGGAGGAAUACCGAUGGCGAAGGCAGCCAUCUGGCCUAACACUGACGCUGAGGUACGAAAGCAUGGGGAGCAAACAGG